Molecule: ribosomal RNA, 460 nt
Filed under: uncultured bacterium
Lineage: Bacteria
Description: partial 16S ribosomal RNA
Rfam family: Bacterial small subunit ribosomal RNA
Source: RNAcentral
CCUACGGGGGGCAGCAGUGAGGAAUCUUGGUCAAUGGGCGUAAGCCUGAACCAGCCACGUCGCGUGAGUGAUGAAGGUUCUAUGGAUCGUCAACCUCUUUUAUAAGGGAAUAAAGUGUGGGACGUGUCCUAUUUUGUAUGUACCUUAUGAAUAAGGAUCGGCUAACUCCGUGCCAGCAGCCGCGGUAAUACGGAGGAUCCGAGCGUUAUCCGGAUUUAUUGGGUUUAAAGGGGGCGUAGGCGGCCUUUUAAGUCAGCGGGGAAAGUCUGUGGCUCAACCCUAGAAUUGCCGUUGAAACUGGGGGGCUUGAGUAUGUUUGAGGAGGGCGGAAUGCGAGGUGUAGCGGUGAAAUGCUUAGAUAUCACGAAGAACACCGAUUGCGAAGGCAGCCUGCCAAGCCAUGACUGACGCUGAUGCACGAAAGCGUGGGGAUCAAACAGGAUUAGAUACCCUAGUAGUC